GACGAACGCUGGCGGCGUGCUUAACACAUGCAAGUCGAACGGAAAGGCCUGCUUUCCCUUGUGGAUUGCGGGUACUCGAGUGGCGAACGGGUGAGUAACACGUGAGUGAUCUGCCCCCAACUUGGGUAUAAGCCUGGGAAACUGGGUCUAAUUCCCGAUAGGACUGCAGGGUGGUGCCUGUGGUGGAAAACGAUUUUCUAGUGGUUGGGGAUGAGCUCGCGGCCUAUCAGCUUGUGGGUGGGGUAAUGGCCUACCAAGGCGGCGACGGGUAGCCGGCCUGGGAGGGGGGACGGCCACAUUGGGACUGAGAUACGGCCCAGACUCCUACGGGAGGCAGCAGUGGGGAAUAUUGCACAAUGGGCGGAAGCCUGAUGCAGCGACGCCGCGUGGGGGAUGACGGCCUUCGGGUUGUAAACUCCUUUCGACCGCGAGGAAGCCACCUGGUUGGAAGGGUGGUGACGGUAGUGGUAGAAGAAGCACCGGCUAACUACGUG
RNAcentral lists this ribosomal RNA (494 nucleotides) under uncultured bacterium. RNAcentral describes it as "partial 16S ribosomal RNA". It matches the Rfam family "Bacterial small subunit ribosomal RNA", at positions 28 to 507 of the family's 1533-position model. The record is from RNAcentral.